This is a non-coding RNA of Lolium perenne, 443 nucleotides long. The record is from RefSeq and is a predicted model, not a curated record. Lineage: Eukaryota; Viridiplantae; Streptophyta; Magnoliopsida; Poales; Poaceae.
AUUCCCAGUGAUUUACUACACCAAUUGAUGCACCGUUUGUUGCUACUUAAGCCUCUUUCACUCCUCUUCAUUUCCCCUCAAACCACACAGACCGAGAGCCUCCAGGCUGCUCAAAUUUUGCCUCGCAAUUCUGCGGUACCGUUGCAUUAAAUCGUCGAUUGCGCGCUAUCUUCGUCCGUGAGCACGUCCGCGGGACAGUUUUCGGGCGAGCGAUUUCCGGCGAAACAGUGCACCUCGACGUCCGCCACUUCUUCAUCGAUUUCGUCUUGUCAAACAGCGCCGUGGUUUGCUUCACCAUCGGCAGAGAUCUUCGAGGAAGCUCCACGGACAUCAACCAUCGAAAGUCAACUACACCUAGCUGUCUCUGUUCCCGUGGAUUGUGGUUGUGCUAAUUACAACGAGUGUUUUUGCGAAGAGUGUACCAACUCCUCCUCUCACCAAGA